CCUACGGGAGGCAGCAGUGGGGAAUAUUGCACAAUGGGGGGAAGCCUGAUGCAGCCAUGCCGCGUGGGUGAAGAAGCACUCCGGCGCGUAAAGCCCUGUCAGCAGGGGGGAAAAUGACAGUACCUGGACAAGAAGCACCGGAUAACUACGUACCAGCAGCCGCGGUAAUAUGUAGGGGGCAAGCGUUAUCCGGAUUUACCGGGUGUAAAGGGAGCGCAGGCGGCGUGGCAAGGCAGAUGUGAAAACCCGGGGCCCAACCCCGGGAGUGCAUUUGAAACUGGCAUGCUGGAGUGCCGGAGAGGUAAGCGGAAUUCCUAGUGUAGCGGUGAAAUGCGUAGAUAUUAGGCAGAACACCAGUGGCGGAGGCGGCUUACUGGACGGUAACUGACGCUGAGGCUCGAAAGCGUGGGGAGCAAACAGGAUUAGAUACCCUUGUAGUC
This 440-nucleotide ribosomal RNA is filed under the name uncultured bacterium. RNAcentral describes it as "partial 16S ribosomal RNA". It matches the Rfam family "Bacterial small subunit ribosomal RNA", at positions 338 to 795 of the family's 1533-position model. The record is from RNAcentral.